GCAUUAUGAUUUGUGUAUAUCAGUAUUAUGAUUAUGAUUGCUUAUUUCUGCAUAAUAAUACUAUUUUGCAUUAUCAUGCCAACCUUGAAUUGAGAGUUUUAAAACAACUUUCAGUGACUGCUAUUUCUGGCUUUUCUCCUGACAGGUUAAAAGAUUAAGAGUUUCUCUAACCACGGCUACCCUCUAAAAGUCACAUUUUCCCCCUUUUUCCAGUCACUCUCUGAAAGAGAACGAAGUAAUUUUCUGAAGGGAAGCUGCAGAAUAUGGAAAACAUAUAUUGGAGCUACAUGGACGUUUACUAUGUGAAACAAAGAUAUACAUCACUGUAUACUGCAAAAGGCAUGCAGUCUAAUGUUGGAUGAUCUAGAAAAACUUUUUGAAGAUUCUUUGCAGUUAGGAUAAACCAAU
This 408-nucleotide long non-coding RNA is filed under the name Pan troglodytes (chimpanzee). Its description in RNAcentral is "long non-coding RNA NONPTRT003410". Lineage: Eukaryota; Metazoa; Chordata; Mammalia; Primates; Hominidae. The record is from RNAcentral.